Molecule: ribosomal RNA, 458 nt
Filed under: uncultured bacterium
Lineage: Bacteria
Description: bacterial SSU rRNA
Rfam family: Bacterial small subunit ribosomal RNA
Source: RNAcentral
AACGAACGCUGGCGGCAGGCCUAAUACAUGCAAGUCGAACGAUCCUUCGGGAUAGUGGCGCACGGGUGAGUAACACGUGGGAACAUACCCUUGGGUGCGGAACAACGUCGGGAAACUGACGCUAAUACCGCAUAAUGACUCCGGUCCAAAGAUUUAUCGCCCAAAGGAUUGGCCCGCGCUAGAUUAGGUUGUUGGUGAGGUAACGGCUCACCAAGCCUACGAUCUAUAGCUGGUCUGAGAGGAUGAUCAGCCACACUGGGACUGAGACACGGCCCAGACUCCUACGGGAGGCAGCAGUAAGGAAUAUUGGACAAUGGGGGCAACCCUGAUCCAGCCAUGCCGCGUGAGUGAAGAAGGCCUUAGGGUUGUAAAGCUCUUUCAGGUGCGAAGAUAAUGACUGUAACACCAGAAGAAGCCCCGGCUAAAUUCGUGCCAGCAGCCGCGGUAAAGUACAGUGU